GUGCUCAUUUCAGUAGCACAUAUAUUAAAAUUGGAAUAAUACAAGGAAGAUUAGCAUGUCCCCUGUGCAAGAAUGGCAUGCAAAUAUGUGAAGUUCUGUAAACCCAC
Molecule: small nuclear RNA, 107 nt
Filed under: Dasypus novemcinctus (nine-banded armadillo)
Lineage: Eukaryota; Metazoa; Chordata; Mammalia; Cingulata; Dasypodidae
Source: RNAcentral